Molecule: ribosomal RNA, 440 nt
Filed under: uncultured bacterium
Lineage: Bacteria
Description: partial 16S ribosomal RNA
Rfam family: Bacterial small subunit ribosomal RNA
Source: RNAcentral
CCUACGGGAGGCAGCAGUGGGGAAUAUUGCACCAUGGGGGAAACCCUGAUGCAGCAACGCCGCGUGAAGGAAGACGGUUUUCGGAUUGUAAACCUCUGUUCUUAGUGAAGAAUAAUGACGGUAGCUAAUGAGCAAGCCACGGCUAACUACGUGCCAGCAGCCGCGGUAAUACGUGGGUGGCAAGCGGUGUCCGUAAUUACUGGGUGAAAGGGGUGCGGAGGCGGGAAGCCAAGUCAGUUGUAAAACCUGCGGGCUUAACUUGUAGACUGCAGUUGAAACUGGUUUUCUUGAGUGAGAUGGGGGGUGGCGGAAUUCCGGGUGUAGCGGUGAAAUGGGUAGAUAAUCGGAGGAAAACAGGUGGCGAAGGCGGCCAACUGGGCUUUAACUGACGCUGAGGCUCGAAAGUGUGGGGAGCAAACAGGAUUAGAUACCCAGUAGUC